Pipistrellus kuhlii (Kuhl's pipistrelle) is the source of this 145-nucleotide long non-coding RNA. RefSeq lists it as uncharacterized. The record is from RefSeq and is a predicted model, not a curated record. NCBI's taxonomy places the organism in Eukaryota, Metazoa, Chordata, Mammalia, Chiroptera, Vespertilionidae. The transcript is spliced from 3 exons.
AAAGGCACAGAGUGGGGCCCGUUUUCCCCAGAAGGCAGAACGUGAGAGAAAUCGACAGUGUGCGUUUCCACACUGAAUUUAUGUCCAGUUUCCUAUGAGAGAAUGUCUUAUGUAUAAUGCACAUACUCUCCCCAGUUCUAAAUAG